AUGGGGUCGUCUGCGGUGCAGAAGGAGGCCGUCGUCCUUAACGGCGGCGGCGGCGGGGCGGGGGAGGACCACCGGCUGCGGGCGCUGGCGGCCAGGACGGUGACGGACUCGCUCAGGGCGGCCGUGGCCAGGUCCAGCUCGGCGGAGAAGGCGGCCAGGCUCGAGGAGUGCGCCCGGAGCCUCGAGGCCGAGAAGGCCAAGAUGGAGGUCUUCCGCCGCGAGCUCCCCAUCAGCGUCCACCUCAUCGCCGACGUGAUCGAGUGGCUGAAGGAUGAGGUGGCGCAGCACCGGAGACCCGCGCCGGAUCAGCUGCUCGCACCGGCGCCGGCGCCUGCACCGCCGGCAAAGAGGAAGGCGGAGGGCGUCAAGACGGAAGCAGACGCGAGCGACAAGCGUAGCUGGAUGAGCUCCGCGCAGCUGUGGACCUGCGGCAGCCACAGCAGCACCAGCAACAGCAAUGGCGACAGCAUCAAGAAACAGGCCCAAAAGGUGUCCAAUGCAUUCAUGCCACUGAAUGGCUUGCCAACCUUAGCAAAAUCAUCGGAGAGACCAGAGGCGGCGGCCAUGGCUGUCCCGGAGCUGUCCCUCUCAUCUCCAGCGAUCGACGCCCCCUGCCCGACCGCUCCGAGUGCCGACAGCAGCGCCGUCACGGACGCUGGAGCUCAACGCGAGCAGCAGUCGGCGCAGCGGAAGGCCAGGCGGUGCUGGUCGCCGGAGCUGCACCGCCGGUUCGUCGCCGCGCUCCAGCGCCUCGGGGGCCCGCAAGUGGCCACUCCUAAGCAAAUCAGGGAGAUGAUGAAGGUGGAUGGGCUCACGAAUGAUGAGGUCAAGAGCCACCUGCAGAAAUACAGGCUGCACACACGGCGAGCAUCCGACGGCGACCAGCAGCAGUCGGCGUCGGCCGGGCAGUGGCCACGGCCGGAGCAGUACACCACGUCGCAGCACAGCUCGUCGCAGUCGGGCUCGCCUCAGGGGCCGCUGCAGCUCACCGUGUCGAGCCGGGGGAUGUCGGUGACCGUCGGAGAUAGCUGCGAUGGCGGCGAGGAGAACGAAGAGGAGGAUGGCAAGUCGGCGAGCUACAGCUGGGGGAUGCAGCAGAAGGGCACGAAGGCUUCGUCGUCGUCUUGA
RNAcentral lists this ribosomal RNA (1128 nucleotides) under Triticum aestivum (bread wheat). Its description in RNAcentral is "partial small subunit ribosomal RNA". Lineage: Eukaryota; Viridiplantae; Streptophyta; Magnoliopsida; Poales; Poaceae. The record is from RNAcentral.